AUGUGCUUCUCGGAUUCAACCCUCACCAUGAACGACGGGACAUUGACGAUCUGCCUGCCAACCCUGCAAUCUGAUGUGGCGUUGCCUGAUCAAGACACGGGCAUGGUGGAUGGAUUUUGCCAUGCCAGCCUUGAAGACAAGAGUCUGAAGGCGCCUUGCAAGGAAGUUCUCAGCAGUCAGGGCAAGGACGUAAUCAAGCUUGUCCUGGCCCUCAGCAAGGAGACCAUAGCGGUUCAUGCGACGGAGAAGAGCCGCGCCCUCAAAGAUACGGCGGGGAUUCUUCUCAUCCAGUGUGAGCAAGUGUCUUGCCGCAUUACGGAUCCUGCUCAAUGCAUACUGAACCCUCCAGAGCUCACGCUUGCACCUCAGUCCAUACUCACCAACCAGCUUUAG
Molecule: ribosomal RNA, 393 nt
Filed under: Triticum aestivum (bread wheat)
Lineage: Eukaryota; Viridiplantae; Streptophyta; Magnoliopsida; Poales; Poaceae
Description: partial small subunit ribosomal RNA
Source: RNAcentral